GCUGCUAUUUCUUCGUUCAUGAUUUUAAACCACACUUGCCGUUGAGCCGUACGAUCUAUUUCUUUGUACGGCGGCUGGCCUAUGUCUCGCCUGUCUUGUCACUGUAUUCAUCUCGGAGAGUUACGAGCACAAGUACCCCCAGAAUCUCAUUUUCCUGGGAGCUUUAACUUUGAUGGAGGGUCUCCCAAUUUGUGCGUUAUGUGUUGUUUUUGAUGGAAAGAUGGUGCUUCAGGCAUUAGGUCUAAUUGCUACCGCCUUCAGCUCCUUAACUGGGUACACUUUUUGGGCUGCUAGGAGGGGCAAGGACUUUAGCUUACAUGUGGCAAUCAUUUUCUUUUCCCUUGUUAUCCUUGCCGCUGCAACUGUGUCGCUGGUGAAUGAUCAACUUUCAUUUUUCCCACAUCCGUUUGGCCCAGCAUUACCAUUCCUCGGUGGACUUUUUCCAACGUUAUUGUUGGUUACUAGUACUGGCGGAUUUAUUAAGGAAUUACACUACAAUCAGCACUUAAGAGCCGCGGAGCAUGUCUUCUUAUACGUGACAAUUAUGUUCUUUCAUUUCGUGUUAUACAAAUACAUGAAAGUCAUGAAAGAUGUGACUGAGG
Molecule: unclassified non-coding RNA, 602 nt
Filed under: Hevea brasiliensis (rubber tree)
Lineage: Eukaryota; Viridiplantae; Streptophyta; Magnoliopsida; Malpighiales; Euphorbiaceae
Source: RNAcentral